RNAcentral lists this long non-coding RNA (981 nucleotides) under Phoenix dactylifera (date palm). RNAcentral's name for it is "long non-coding RNA (PDAC_LNC001305)". Lineage: Eukaryota; Viridiplantae; Streptophyta; Magnoliopsida; Arecales; Arecaceae. The record is from RNAcentral.
GAUAGAUGAUUAAAGCAAUGAUAAUAAAAGUGCUAUGAAUUGAAAGUAAUGAAGAUAACUAUGUGCUGAAUAUAAGAGUCUCACUUAUAUCCAAAAUCCAAGGAAUAUUCCUGGCGUCUCACUAAGGAAGAAGAAGAGCCUUUGGAGUCUCACUAAAGGAGAAGAAGAGAAACCUCUCGCCUCUAGAUCAUAAGCAAUUUGCAAGUCAAAAUAUUAUGCAUUGAUUUAUUCAUCAUGUUCACCUUAUUAAAUAGAUGAGGCGUGGGCUUACAAUGAACACUUUGAAAUAUAACUAAACUCUAAAGUUUAAGGCUAAGUAGACUUCCUAAGUAACCUAGGAUUUGGCCUAAGUCAAAACUCAACAAAGCUUCACACCAUGAUCUCACAUGUGGAGGGCUAAGGGAGGUCUCAAUGCGGAUUAGACCUAGUCAAGGGAUUGCCAUAUGCCGGAUCAAUUCCUUGGACUAAGUCAAAAACCUUUCAAGCCUUAUCCUUCCAUACGUGGAGACACAUAGAAAAGUCUUGACCAAGUCAAGGAUUUAUCCCUUCUCCACGUCACAAGCUUCAUCGCGUGAGGAGGUUCAAUCUAGGCUUUGACUAAUUCAACUCCCUCUUCACACUAUAACAUGGACCCUAUGAUGAUGCCACUUGGCAUUCAAUUACAAGGACUUAAUUAGAUGCCACUUGACAACUAAUUACAUGGACUCAAUUGAAGACUCAAAUCAACAAACUUACAACUCAAUUUAGGACUUAAUUUUGGACCUAAUGUGAUAAAACAAACUAAUCAAAAAUCAUCCUAAUCUUCAUGCACACACUUAAGGUUCAUGCACCAUGCUCCUGCAUCAUGCACAAAAGAAGUUCAUUAGAAAACAGUUAGAAUUUUAGUCAUACAUGUGAUGAAUUUAAAAUAUUUGAAACUUCACAUAUUGAUCGUAAGAUGAUCUAGUAUAAGGAUGUUAAUAGUUGGACAUUUCUUAUAUA